Molecule: RNA transcript, 2653 nt
Organism: Neofelis nebulosa (Clouded leopard)
Lineage: Eukaryota; Metazoa; Chordata; Mammalia; Carnivora; Felidae
Gene: XRCC5
Gene name: X-ray repair cross complementing 5
Exons: 21
Source: RefSeq, a predicted model, not a curated record
UUUACGACGCCCUGCCUCCGACUCCGCCGGACCUUUGCAGCGGUGCGCGGGGUUCCUGCCCGGAAGAGGCAGCUGAGGCACCCGCGCGCGGACAACAUGGCGCGGUCCAGGAGUAAGGCAGCUAUUGUGCUCUGUAUGGAUGUGGGGUCUGCCAUGAGUAACUCCCUUCCCGGCGAAGAAUCUCCAUUUGAACUGGCAAAGAAGUUGAUGACCAUGUUUGUGCAGCGACAGGUGUUUGCUGAGAGCAAGGAUGAAAUUGCAUUAGUCCUUUUUGGUACAGAUGGUACUGAGAAUGCCCUUGCUGGUAAGGAUCAGUAUCAGAACAUCACAGUCCACAGACACCUGAUGCUACCAGAUUUUGACCUGCUGGAGGACAUCGGAAGCAAAAUCCAACCAGGUUCUCAACAAGCUGACUUCCUGGAUGCACUCAUUGUGUGCAUGGAUGUGAUUCAACAAGAAACUGUAGGAAAGAAGUUUGAAAAGAGGCAUAUUGAAGUGUUCACUGACCUCAGCAGCCCAUUCAGCCAAGAUCAGCUGGAUAUUAUAAUCCAUAACUUGGAGAAAUCUGGCAUCUCCCUGCAGUUCUUUUUGCCAUUCCCUGUUGGCAAGGAGGAUGGAACCGGGGACAGAGGAGAUGGUAACUCCUGCUUGGACCACCAUGGACCCUCCUUUCCUCUAAAAGGAAUUACUGAGCAGCAGAAAGAAGGUAUUCGGAUGGUGAAAAAGGUGAUGAUGUCUUUAGAAGGUGAAGAUGGGCUGGAUGAAAUUUAUUCCUUCAGUGAGAGUCUGAGACAACUGUGUGUCUUUAAGAAAACUGAGAGGUAUUCCGUCCCUUGGCUCUGCACACUGACCAUUGGCUCCAAUUUGGCUAUAAAAAUUGUGGCUUACAAAGCGAUUAUGCAGGAGAAAGUUAAAAAGUCUUGGACAGUUGUGGAUGCAAGAACCCUAAAAAAAGAAGAUAUACAAAGAGAAACAGUUUAUUGCUUACAGGACGACGAUGAAACGGAGGUUCCAAAAGAGGACACUAUUCAAGGGUUCCGCUAUGGAAGUGAUAUAGUUCCUUUCUCUAAAGUGGAUGAAGAACAAAUGAAAUAUAAAUCAGAGGGGAAGUGCUUCUCUGUUUUGGGAUUUUGUAGAUCUUCUCAGGUCCACAGAAGAUAUUUUGUGGGAAAUCAAGUCCUAAAGGUCUUUGCAGCGAAAGAUGAUGAGGCAGCAGCAGUGGCACUUUCCUCCCUGAUUCAUGCUUUGGAUGAAUUAGACAUGGUGGCCGUGGUUCGAUAUGCUUAUGCCGGAAGAACUAAUCCUCAAGUUGGCAUGGCUUUUCCUUAUAUCAAGGAUGCCUAUGAGUGUUUAAUGUACGUGCAGCUGCCUUUUAUGGAAGACUUGCGACAAUAUAUGUUUUCAUCCUUGAAAAAUAGUAAGAAAUGCACUCCCACAGAGGCUCAGUUGAGUGCUGUUGAUGCUUUGAUUGACUCCAUGAGCUUGGUAAAGAAAGAUGAAAAGGAAGACACCAUUGAAGACUUGUUUCCAACCACCAAAAUCCCAAACCCUCAACAUCAGAGGUUGUAUCAGUGUCUGGCGCACAGAGCUUUACAUCCCCAAGAGCCUCUGCCCCCAAUUCAGCAGCAUAUUUUGAAUAUGCUGGAUCCCCCUGCUGAGGUGACAGCUAAAUGUCAGAUUCCUCUCUCUAAAAUAAAGACCGUUUUCCCUCUGACUGAAGCCACCAAGAAAAAGGAUCAAGUGCCUGCUCAGAACAUUUUCCCAGACAACCAUGAAGAGGGACCUGUCUCUAAAAAACUGAAGACUCAGGAAGGGGAAGCAUGCUUUAGCGUCUCCAGCCUGGCUGAAGGCAGUGUCACCAGAGUCGGAAGUGUGAAUCCUGCUGAGAACUUCCGUGUUCUAGUGAGGCAGAAGAAAGCCAGCUUUGAGGAAGCAAGUCGCCAGCUAAUAAAUCAGAUCGAGCAGUUUUUGGAUACUAAUGAAACACCGUAUUUUAUGAAGAGCAUGGACUGCAUCACAGUGUUCCGGGAAGAAGCCAUUCAGGUUUCGGAAGAGCAGUGCUUUAACAAUUUCCUGAAAGCCCUUCGAGAGAAAGUGGAAAUUAAACAAUUAAAGCAUUUCUGGGACAUUGUCGUUCAGGAUGGAAUUACUCUGAUCACCAAAGAUGAAGCCCCCGGAAGUUCCAUCACAGCUGAAGAAGCCAAAAAGUAGACAUGAAGAUGUGAGGCAGCUAAAGAAACGGAUGCUUCUUCUUCAGGACCCAAAGAACUUUGGGUCCCAUGUUUUAGAGGCAACUUGCCGGUGAACGUGCAUCGGACAUGCAGAGUAUCUACCACUUUCUAGCCUUGUGGAUUUAGAUGAACAAGAUGCUGGAGCCAAAAGGAGCUCUGGAGGCCAGCUGAUCCUGCAGAUGUGGUGACAAGCCUCCACUCCUGCCUCCUCUCCCCCUGCCAGGAGCCUUCAGCAGUGCCAGUGGGGGAAUGCUCCCCGCCUGCAGGGCUGUCCACUGUCACACAGCUGCGGGGCAGGACUUACACGGAAGGCUACCACUGCCAAACUCCUCCUCCAGACAUUACCCCUCAAGAGCCCAGCCCUGUCAGAAUCUGUACUAAAGAACCUGUCGGGCAAGUGUGGGGAAAGAUCAGUCUAACCA